AUGUCUUGUAAUUGGAAUGAUGGUGACCCAAACCCUCACCAGAGUAGCAAUUGGAGGGCAAGUCUGGUGCCAGCAGCCGCGGUAAUUCCAGCUCCAAUAGCGUAUAUUAAACUUGUUGCAGUUAAAAAGCUCGUAGUUGUAUUUUUGCGUUGACGGUUUGACCAUUUGGUUGGUUAUUUCGUUUUCGCUUUUGGGAAUUUCCCUUUUUACUUUGAGAAAAUUAGAGUGUUUCAAGCAGACUUUUGUCUUGAAUACUUCAGCAUGGAAUAAUAGAGUAGGACUUUGGUUCUAUUUUGUUGGUUAUUGAACCUUAGUAAUGGUUAAUAGGAACGGUUGGGGGCAUUCGUAUUUAAA
Molecule: ribosomal RNA, 354 nt
Filed under: Babesia canis
Lineage: Eukaryota; Apicomplexa; Aconoidasida; Piroplasmida; Babesiidae
Description: SSU rRNA
Rfam family: Eukaryotic small subunit ribosomal RNA
Source: RNAcentral